GGGGAUUUAGCUCAGUGGUAGAGCGCUUGCCUAGCAAGCACAAGGUGCUGGGUUCGGUCCCCAGCUCUG
Rattus norvegicus (Norway rat) is the source of this 69-nucleotide non-coding RNA. NCBI's taxonomy places the organism in Eukaryota, Metazoa, Chordata, Mammalia, Rodentia, Muridae. The record is from Rfam.